AUCCAGUUGACGAGUCCCAAAUAGGACGAAAUGCGCGUCCUGGAU
This is a non-coding RNA of Schistosoma mansoni, 45 nucleotides long. Lineage: Eukaryota; Metazoa; Platyhelminthes; Trematoda; Strigeidida; Schistosomatidae. The record is from Rfam.